Bos taurus (domestic cattle) is the source of this 2512-nucleotide long non-coding RNA. The record is from Ensembl. Lineage: Eukaryota; Metazoa; Chordata; Mammalia; Artiodactyla; Bovidae.
ACUGGUUGCCCCUCUUCUCCCCUCCUCUCCAGAUCCCUGUUUCCUGUCUGGCAGAUUUACGAUGCAGUUCAAAGAAGGAAGGAUGAUAUAACGCUUUCCUGCUCCCUCCCUCUCCCAACCGACUUAGGCUAACUGGCUGGGGGCCAAGCGGUUUGUUUUCCGCAGCCUUGAGUUUGUAAAAAUACUCCAGCCUGGGGGUGGGCUACCCAGGCCCUGCCUUUGCACUGUGCGGACCGCCUGCCUGCAGGACGCCCAGGAGUUCUGGGUCCCACUGACUGCCUCUCCGAGCCCCAUGUGGCUAAGAAUGCUAAGCUCUGGCCAACACUGAGGUAAUUCUCUAGGCAGAUCAUAGAAUACACAUCACAGUUUCAUGCAUAGUCAAGCCUCUUGGGCAAUGAGGACGAGGAAAAACAUCAACAAAUGAAUAUGUGAAAAUAAAAGCUUCUGCGAGUCAACUGAAUGUAUCACUGGCUCAGUUAGACUGGCUCCUGAGCAUCUUCUGGUCCACCCUGCCUGGAAGGAGAGAGGGUGGCCUGCUGAGGGGGCGGGCAGGGACAACUAACCACCCCACUCCAGGUGAACAAGAGGGUGGGCCGUGAGAACCAGGGCACAUCCACAGGGUCACUGGCUUUGCCUUCUGGGCACCUCCUCCGUCCUUCAUCCCAUCCCAGCUCUUCUCACGCCAUGCCCUCGUCGGCUGUCCAUCUGCUGAUUAGACAGUGGAUAGACUAUCUCCUCCCCUCCCCCACUACGGAGGCACCUGGCUUGAGGGCUUUUGUUCCUUUUCAGCCUCCCUUCUGCAACACCUGGGACUGAAUUGGCUUUGUAUUGGCAUGGAGCCCUCGGACCUCAGCAUCAAAGAGGCAGGGCGUGAAGCCACAAUCAAGAACAAGCAAAGUGAGCGCAGGGACUUUGCUUAUUUGGAUGGUGUCUGCAUGUCUGGAUGACCCACAGGGAAGCAGACCUCCAGUGCCAACAGCGGCUGUGAAGACAAGUCACAAGUGCCUCAGACUAAGCCAGUACCCUCUGCUUCUGCGGAAUCGUUGGAAGAAAAGGGAAGGAGAAACUCAAAGGAAAUCAAACUGCAAGGGCAGAAGUGCAGGCUCUUACCUGGCACUCCUCGGUGAGGGCUUUUCCAGCAAGACAAAAUGCCGAGCAGAUAUCUGGGGGACACAGGCCCCUUCAGCUCACUCUUGCAGAUGCCUUCAGAGGUCCUGCUUCUCUUCAAACACUUUCAGUCACUCCAUGAGCAUGUUUGAAGCAGCUCCCACGGCCGCAUGUGGCCGUGCAGCAGGGGCACAGCCAGCCACAUGAGUAACGACAAGACGGUCAAGUGUGUGACCAGUGCUGCACGGAGGAGGGGACCGGGGGGCCGAGGGAAGACGGCACAGGCACCCACGGCCGCCUGGCAGCCAAGGAAGGCUUCCCCGAGAGGCUGAGGGUGCCCAGGCCUUCUCCAGGCCUGUCUGCUGCUCUUUCCCCCACUUCUCCACUAAGGGCCUGGUCAGGGGCCGGGGCCAUGGGAGACAGACCGGCAGUCAGAGGACACUCUUCAUUCAACAGGGACCUGUCGCUACCCUGGUCUCCCCUUUCCUGCUCGGAGGAGCCUCCUCCGGCCUAGUUGUUCCUAACUCAGCCCCCUCUCCUGGUGGAGCCUGAGGCCAGAAAGCAGGCAACGCUGAUAAUAAUAAUAGUAAUAAUAAUGGUAAUGCGGAGAAGGGGGUAGGGAGGGGAGUGGUGGAGGAGAAAGGCCGCUUUACCUCAAACCCCACCCUGCGGGUUAAGUGUCUCCACCCCCAGCCAUGCUUGUGGAGAAGGCAGCUCCGUGUGGCCAGACCACAGAGUCCCCAUUUGGAAGAUCCCCUUUCCUAACCACCCUGGCCCAACAUCAGUAGCAAUAUUGCCCCACAAGGAGCAGCGAGCCAUUUACUGCAAAAAUCACCAGCGUCAGGGCUCAAACACCAAGUUCAGACACGAAGAACUCCCCCUCUGGAGCAUAAAACCAAGUUCAGAAUGAAGAAAAACAAAAUUUCCAGCCCGAGUUUCCUCUGAGGAGACACCCUCGGCGCCCCUCCUCACAGCUGCAAGGCCUCCUUCCCGGGCUGGGCCCUCAUUAGGAGCUAAUGGGCCCCAGCUGUGCCAGCUUCCAGACUCCUCCUUAACCCCUUGGUUUCCUCCGUCACUGCCAGAGGAAAAUGAGGCCUUGGAAUUUCCGUGCAGGGUUGAGAGCAGAGGGCACCCGCUGCACAGAGUUAGUGGUGUGCACCUUCUAUGGUUCCUCCUAAGAAACCAAAUAAUUAACAGGCACUCUGAGCCCCCAUCCUAUAUAAAUGUCCCGCUCAACAGCUGUCCUGAGCACCAGAGUGGAAAUGAACAAGGUACCAAUAACAGAGCGGGUCAGCCAAGCCACAAAGGCAGCCUGUGGACCGGGCAGCCUAUCCUUGUCCCCUGCCAUUCCCGUCAGCCACGGGUGCCCACCCUAGACCACAGCUGGGCCUCUUGGGUCUUCCAG